RNAcentral lists this ribosomal RNA (497 nucleotides) under uncultured bacterium. Its description in RNAcentral is "partial 16S ribosomal RNA". It matches the Rfam family "Bacterial small subunit ribosomal RNA", at positions 28 to 507 of the family's 1533-position model. The record is from RNAcentral.
GAUGAACGCUGGCGGCGUGCCUAAUACAUGCAAGUCGAGCGAACGGACGUGAAGCUUGCUUCUCUGAUGUUAGCGGCGGACGGGUGAGUAACACGUGGAUAACCUACCUAUAAGACUGGGAUAACUUCGGGAAACCGGAGCUAAUACCGGAUAAUAUUUUGUACCGCAUGGUUCAAAAGUGAAAGACGGUCUUGCUGUCACUUAUAGAUGGAUCCGCGCUGCAUUAGCUAGUUGGUAAGGUAACGGCUUACCAAGGCAACGAUGCAUAGCCGACCUGAGAGGGUGAUCGGCCACACUGGAACUGAGACACGGUCCAGACUCCUACGGGAGGCAGCAGUAGGGAAUCUUCCGCAAUGGGCGAAAGCCUGACGGAGCAACGCCGCGUGAGUGAUGAAGGUCUUCGGAUCGUAAAACUCUGUUAUUAGGGAAGAACAUAUGUGUAAGUAACUGUGCACAUCUUGACGGUACCUAAUCAGAAAGCCACGGCUAACUACGUG